RNA transcript from Physeter macrocephalus (sperm whale), 8050 nucleotides. It is a transcript of the gene named anaphase promoting complex subunit 1, with no coding region annotated. The transcript is spliced from 50 exons. The record is from RefSeq and is a predicted model, not a curated record. Lineage: Eukaryota; Metazoa; Chordata; Mammalia; Artiodactyla; Physeteridae.
GACGCGUCCAUUUGAACAUCUCGCCUGAGUGGUUCUCCCGCACGCCUGCCUGUCGUUAGCAGUCGUGUUCGCAGCUGCUUCCCAGUCUUCCUCCGGAAUAGGGGAGGGAGAGGGAAUGAGAAGCUGCAGCGGCCGAGGAGUCACCGUGACCGUCCCCGCCGCCACCCUCGGGCCCCCUCGGCCCCCGCGCCUCCGGGGAGCAGCCGGGGCUCGCCGCGCCUGACGCGUCCCGAGUCACACAGAAGCUGACCAGAGUGUGUUUGAAUUCACACAGAAAUAAUGUUGAUAUUUGGAACCCAUGUCGAACUUCUAUGAAGAAAGGGCAACAAUGAUUGCAGCCGGGGAUUUGCAGGAAUUUGUUCCUUUUGGUCGAGACCACUGCAAGCACCACCCUAAUGCUUUGAACCUUCAGCUUCGCCAGCUGCAGCCAGCGUCGGAGUUAUGGUCUUCUGAUGGUGCUGCUGGCUUGGUGGGAUCCCUUCAGGAGGUUACGAUCCACGAGAAACAGAAGGAGAGCUGGCAGUUAAGGAAAGGCGUAAGUGAAAUUGGAGAAGAAGUAGAUUACGAUGAGGAACUCUAUGUGGCUGGAAAUAUGGUUAUCUGGAGCAAAGGAAGUAAAAGCCAGGCAUUGGCUGUUUAUAAAGCGUUUACAGUUGACGGUCCUGUUCAACAGGCAUUGUGGUGUGACUUCAUUAUAUCACAGGAUAAGUCUGAAAAGGACUACAGUAGUGAUGAAGUAGAAAAAUGCAUAUGUAUAUUGCAAAGCUCAUGUAUUAACAUGCAUAGCAUAGAAGGAAAGGAUUACAUAGCUUCUUUACCUUUUCAGGUUGCAAAUGUUUGGCCUACGAAGUAUGGCUUGUUGUUCGAAAGAAGCAGCUCUUCACAUGAGGUUCCUCCAGGCCCACCCAGAGAACCUUUACCCACUAUGUUCAGCAUGCUGCAUCCACUAGAUGAAAUUACACCUCUUGUUUGUAAAUCUGGAAGUCUUUUUGGUUCAUCACGGGUACAAUAUGUUGUAGAUCAUGCAAUGAAAAUUGUUUUUCUCAACACUGAUCCCUCCGUUGUAAUGACCUAUGACACCGUUCAAGGUUUGCAUUCUGUGUGGGCUCUGCGGAGAGUCAAAACAGAGGAAGAGAAUGUUGUUUUAAAGUUCUCUGAACAGGGGGGCACCCCACAGAAUGUGGCCACCAGCAGCUCGCUCACAGCACACCUCAGAAGCCUCUCCAGGGGAGACUCCCCCGUGGCUUCCCCCUUCCAGAACUACUCCUCCAUCCACAGCCAGAGUCGCUCAACCUCCUCGCCCAGCCUACACUCCCGCUCACCUUCCAUUUCCAACAUGGCAGCUCUCAGUCGUGCUCAUUCUCCAGCCUUAGGAGUGCACUCUUUUUCAGGGGUGCAAAGAUUCAACCUUUCAAGCCAUAAUCAAUCUCCAAAGAGACACAGUAUUUCUCAUUCUCCAAAUAGUAAUUCUAACGGCUCCUUUCUUGCACCAGAAACAGAGCCAAUUGUUCCUGAACUUUGUAUGGACCAUUUAUGGACAGAAACGAUUACUAAUACAAGGGAGAAAAAUUCACAGGCCUCAAAAGUCUUUAUUACAUCUGACCUAUGUGGGCAGAAGUUCUUGUGCUUUUUAGUAGAGUCCCAGCUCCAGUUACGAUGUAUAAAGUUUCAAGAGAGUAAUGAUAAAACCCAGCUCAUCUUUGGCUCCGUCACCAACAUACAGGCAAAGGAUGCAGCUCCAGUGGAGAAGAUAGACACUAUGCUGGUCCUGGAAGGCAGUGGAAACCUGGUGCUGUACACAGGAGUGGUUCGGGUGGGAAAGGUUUUCAUUCCUGGGCUGCCAGCUCCCUCCCUGACAAUGUCGAACACAAUGCCUCGGCCCAGCACCCCGCUUGACAGCGUUAGUACUCCUAACCCUCUGAGUAAGCUGCUUGGAUCCCUGGAUGAGGCUGUUCUAUUGUCCCCAGUUCCAGAACUAAGGGAUUCUUCAAAGCUUCAUGAUUCUCUCUAUAAUGAGGAUUGUACUUUCCAACAGCUUGGAACUUACAUUCAUUCUAUAAGAGACCCUGUCCGUAACAGGGUAACGCUAGAACUGAGUAAUGGCUCCAUGGUUAGGAUCACUAUUCCUGAAAUUGCCACCUCUGAAUUAGUACAAACUUGUUUGCAAGCAAUUAAAUUUAUCCUGCCAAAAGAAGUAGCUGUUCAGAUGCUUGUCAAGUGGUACAGUGUCCACAGUGCUCCGGGAGGACCCAGUUAUCACUCAGAGUGGAACUUAUUUCUGACUUGUCUCAUGAACAUGAUGGGUUAUAACACAGACCGCUUAGCAUGGACAAGGAAUUUUGACUUUGAAGGAUCACUUUCCCCAGUCAUUGCACCCAAAAAAGCAAGACCUUCUGAGACGGGAUCUGAUGAUGACUGGGAAUAUUUACUAAAUUCAGACUACCACCAGAAUGUUGAGUCUCAUCUUUUGAAUAGAUCUUUAUGUUUGAGUCCUUUGGAAGUUUCACAGAUGAAGGAUGAGGAUUUGUCACAGAAUCUCAGUUUGGACUCUUCUACACUUCUUUUCACUCACAUACCUGCAAUUUUUUUUGUUCUUCACCUGGUCUAUGAGGAGCUUAAGUUGAACACUCUAAUGGGAGAAGGAAUUCGUUCACUUGUUGAACUUCUCGUUCAGUUGGCAAGGGACUUAAAAUUGGAGGCUUAUGUAGAUCAUUACUAUAGAGAUUACCCAACACUUGUCAGAACUACUGGACAAGUGUGUACAAUUGAUCAAGGACAAACAGGAUUUAUGCAUCAUCCAUCAUUUUUUACUUCUGAGCCACCAAGUAUUUAUCAGUGGGUGAGUUCUUGUCUGAAGGGUGAAGGAAUGCCACCCUAUCCUUACCUCCCCGUCAUCUGUGAAAGAAGCAGACUUGUAGUCUUGAGUAUUGCACUCUACAUACUUGGUGAUGAAAGUUCUGUUUCUGAUGAAUCCUCACAGUAUUUAUCCAGAAUAAGUAUAGCCCCACAGAAGUCCCAAGCAGAACAAGAGGAGAACAGGUUUAGUUUCAGGCAUUCUACAUCAGUUUCUAGUCUAGCUGAGAGAUUAGUCGUCUGGAUGACUAACGUAGGUUUCGCGUUAAGAGACUUGGCAACUCUUCCCUUUGGAAUUGCUCUUCCCAUCAGAGAUGCGAUUUAUCACUGUCGGGAGCAGCCUGCUUCAGACUGGCCAGAAGCUGUUUGCCUCUUGAUUGGACGUCAGGAUCUUUCCAAGCAGGCCUGUGAAGGAAACUUGCCCAAAGGGAAGUCUGUGCUCUCAUCAGAUGUUCCUUCAGGAACAGAAACUGAGGAGGAAGAUGAUGGCAUGAAUGACAUGAAUCAGGAGGUGAUGUCACUAAUAUGGAGUGAAGACUUAAGGGUGCAGGAUGUGCGAAGGCUUCUUCAGAGUGCGCAUCCUGUCCGCGUCAAUGUGGUGCAGUACCCAGAACUCAGUGACCACGAGUUCAUUGAGGAAAAAGAGAACAGAUUGCUCCAGUUGUGUCAGCGAACUAUGGCUCUUCCAGUAGGACGGGGAAUGUUUACCUUGUUUUCAUACCAUCCUGUUCCAACGGAGCCAUUGCCUAUUCCUAAGUUGAAUCUGACUGGGCGGGCACCCCCUCGGAACACAACAGUAGACCUGAACAGUGGCAACAUCGAUGUGCCUCCCAACAUGACCAGCUGGGCCAGCUUCCAUAAUGGCGUGGCUGCCGGCCUGAAGAUAGCCCCUGCCUCCCAGAUCGACUCAGCCUGGAUUGUCUACAAUAAGCCCAAGCACGCCGAGUUAGCCAAUGAGUAUGCCGGCUUUCUCAUGGCCCUGGGUCUGAACGGGCACCUUACCAAGCUGGCUACUCUGAAUAUCCAUGACUACCUGACGAAGGGUCAUGAGAUGACAAGCAUUGGACUGCUCCUUGGUGUUUCUGCUGCUAAACUAGGCACCAUGGAUAUGUCGAUUACACGGCUUCUUAGCAUCCACAUUCCUGCUCUCCUGCCCCCAACGUCCACAGAGCUUGAUGUUCCUCACAACGUCCAAGUGGCUGCAGUGGUUGGCAUCGGCCUUGUUUAUCAAGGGACAGCUCAUAGGCAUACCGCAGAAGUCUUGUUGGCUGAAAUAGGACGGCCCCCUGGUCCUGAAAUGGAAUACUGCACGGACAGAGAGUCUUACUCUUUGGCUGCUGGCUUGGCUCUGGGCAUGGUUUGCUUGGGGCACGGCAGUAAUUUGAUAGGUAUGUCUGAUCUCAAUGUGCCCGAGCAGCUCUAUCAGUACAUGGUUGGAGGCCAUAGGCGCUUUCAAGCAGGGAUGCACAGGGAGAAACAUAAAUCUCCAAGUUAUCAAAUCAAAGAAGGAGAUACCAUAAAUGUGGAUGUAACUUGUCCGGGUGCCACUCUCGCUUUGGCCAUGAUCUACUUAAAAACCAAUAACAGAUCCAUUGCAGAUUGGCUCCGAGCUCCCGACACCAUGUAUUUGCUGGACUUUGUGAAGCCAGAAUUUCUCUUACUUAGGACGCUUGCUCGAUGCCUGAUUUUGUGGGAUGAUAUUUUACCAAAUUCCAAGUGGGUUGAUAGCAACGUUCCUCAAAUUAUAAGAGAAAAUAGUAUCUCUCUCAGUGAAAUCGAAUUGCCGUGUUCAGAGGAUUUGAAUUUGGAAACUUUGUCGCAGGCACAUGUCUACAUAAUUGCAGGAGCUUGUUUGUCUCUGGGUUUUCGAUUUGCUGGCUCAGAAAACUUAUCAGCAUUUAACUGUUUGCAUAAAUUUGCAAAAGAUUUUAUGACUUAUUUGUCUGCACCCAAUGCUUCUGUAACAGGUCCUUACAACCUGGAGACCUGCCUGAGUGUGGUGCUGCUGUCUCUCGCCAUGGUGAUGGCUGGCUCGGGGAACCUGAAGGUUUUGCAGCUUUGUCGCUUCUUGCACAUGAAAACAGGUGGUGAAAUGAACUAUGGUUUCCACUUAGCCCAUCACAUGGCCCUUGGACUUCUGUUUUUGGGAGGAGGAAGGUACUCUUUGAGCACAUCAAACUCUUCCAUUGCCGCCCUCCUCUGUGCCCUUUACCCGCACUUCCCAGCUCACAGCACUGACAACCGGUAUCACCUCCAGGCUCUCCGGCAUCUGUAUGUGCUGGCUGCAGAACCGAGACUUCUCGUGCCCGUGGAUGUGGACACAAACACGCCCUGCUAUGCCCUCUUAGAAGUGACCUAUAAGGGCACUCAGUGGUAUGAACAAACCAAAGAAGAAUUGAUGGCUCCUACCCUUCUUCCAGAACUCCACCUUUUAAAGCAGAUUAAAGUUAAAGGCCCACGAUACUGGGAACUGCUCAUAGAUUUAAGCAAGGGAACCCAACACUUGAAGUCAAUUCUUUCCAAGGACGGGGUUUUAUAUGUUAAGCUCAGAGCAGGUCAGCUCUCAUACAAGGAAGAUCCAAUGGGGUGGCAAAGUUUGUUGGCCCAGACUGUUGCCAACAGGAACUCUGAAGCUCGGGCUUUCAAGCCUGAAACGAUUUCAGCAUUCACUUCUGAUCCAGCACUUCUGUCAUUUGCUGAAUAUUUCUGCAAACCAACUGUGAACAUGGGUCAGAAACAGGAAAUUCUGGAUCUCUUUUCUUCAGUACUCUAUGAAUGUGUGACCCAGGAGACCCCAGAGAUGUUACCUGCAUACGUAGCAAUGGAUCAGGCUGUAAGAAGACUGGGGAGAAGAGAAAUGUCCGAGACAUCUGAACUUUGGCAGAUAAAGUUGGUGUUAGAGUUUUUCAGCUCCAGAAGCCAUCAGGAGCGGCUGCAGAACCACCCUAAGCGAGGGCUCUUUAUGAACUCGGAAUUCCUCCCUGUUGUCAAGUGCACUAUUGAUAAUACUCUGGACCAGUGGCUACAAGCUGGGGGUGAUGGGUGUGUGCACGCCUACCUCAGCGGGCAGCCCUGCGAGGAGUCGCAGCUGAGCAUGCUGGCCUGUUUCCUCGUCUACCACUCGGUGCCAGCCCCGCGGCUCCUGCCGUCUAUAGGAUUAGAAGGAUGGAGUAACAGAGAUCUGAUUUACUAUCCUACCCGAAACAAGAAAACAAAACAACACAAAAUAAACAAGCUGAAAAAACAACAGAGAAAACUGGACACUGCAUAUGAAACAAUGGCUUUUGAGACGUGUAUCAGGCAAUGAAGAAGAGUGAUCCCUGAGAGAUGAGAAAUAAAUGAGAUAAGCCCUGUGAUUGGCCCAGCUAACAAGCCUUGAGAGUUUCCAGACUGUGAAGGAGGGAGAGGGAAUCCAGGAAGAGCCUGGAAGACUCCUUCAGUUGAGGUGAUGGAGCUGAGAGUACAGGGAGCCAAAGGAGCUAGAGUUUACAUGAUAGAGUGCCAGAGAGGAGAGAGCUACACACAGAGAAUGCCAGAUGUCUGCAGAGGGUCCCCCUCAAAUAUCAGAAGAGUCCUUACUAAUCAACACAUGCAUGUGAAGAAGUUUCCCAAGGCUGAGGGAAGAACUGUCCUAAUGGAUUAGAGAGAACCAGUUUGUACAGGUUCAGGAACAGUGUCUGUUCCCACAACUUCACAAUUUAAGGGGCUGUACUCAGUGUAGUCUUGCCUCAACAAUGGGAAAUAUUUAGCCCUAGACUAAACAGACUAAACAGAAAUAUUUAGCCCUAGACUAAAAUAUUUUAGCCCGCCUUAAAAAUCUUAAAAGCAUGACACAAAAGGAUCAAACUGCUUUUCAAGUAAUAUAACUAUGUUCUGAAAGCUCAAGAAUACAGAAAUACGAAAAUAUCCAGCACCCACGGUAAAAUUCAUGAUGUCUGGCGUACAAAGAAACAGGAAAAUACAGCCUAUAAUGAAGGAGGUGGGAAAUCAAUUACCACUGACCUGGAAUUGACAUGGAUGUUAGUUAGCAGACAAGGACAUUAAGACAGUUAUAACUCGAUUCCAUAUAACCUUAUUCCAUAUUUCAAAACAUUAAGAGAUAUGGAAACAUAAAAAGAAUCUAACUGAACUUUUAGAGGUGAAAACUAUAAUUCUGAGAAAAACACACUGAAUGGGAUUAAUAGCAGAUUAGACAUUGCAGAAUUAAAAAAAAGUGAGUUUGAAGACAGCAUUAGAAACUAUCCAAAAUGAAAUACAAAAAGAAAAAAAGAAUUAAAAAAAAAAGGAACAGAGCAUUAAAAAUGGAGUAAACUCUGGGACUUAAAGGACCCAAUUUACAUGAGAUGGAGUCCCUGAAGAAGAGAAAAAUGGGGGAGAGGGACAGAAAAAAAUACUUGAAGAAAUAAUGGCUGGAAAAUUUACAAGUUUAAUGAAAACGAAAGUCCACAGAUGCAAGAAGUUCAAUGAAUCCCAAGCCUGAGAAACAUGAAGAAAGUUGCACCAAGGCACAUAAUAACCAAAUUGCCCAAAACUGAUGAUAAAAAGUCUUAAAAGCAGCCAGAAGAAAAAGACAGAAACAAAAAAUAAGAGUCAUAGCAUAUUUUUCAUAGGAAACAAUGCAAGUGAUAAAUUAGUGGAGUAACAUCUGUAAAGGACUCAAAGGAAAAACACUAUCUAGUUAGAAUUUUAUACCCCGCAAAAAUAUCUUUCAAAAAAAAAAAAAAGACCAUGAAAUAAAGCCUUUUUCAGACACACAAAAGCUGAAAGAAUUCAUCAACAGCAGCAGACCCACACUAGUGGAAAUGUUACAGUAAGUCCUUGAGGCAGAAGGAAAAUAAUGUCAGAUUGAAAUAUGGAUCUACACAAAGGAAUGAAGAGCAUUGGAAAUGGUAACUACAUGGAUAUAUACAUAAGACUCUGCCGUCUGCAUGUCUACUAGGAUGCUUGUUGUGGCUUAGAGACUCAUCGGGAUCAUGUAUGUGUAUAUGUUGGGGCUGAGGAAAGGGAACUGUGGACAGCGGCAUGUGGUGAGGAUGGAGGCAAAGAGGAAGAUGAUGCUUAAUAGAAUUUGCAGGGAACACAAGCUUCGCAGAACUCCUCUUCAAAUUUAAACAGCUGAAGAUGCCAGUGCGAGCUUUGCUGAGAUUGGCUCCUUUGCUUCUUGGAAAUCCACAACCAAUGCUUAUGUGAUCAUGUC